This 497-nucleotide ribosomal RNA is filed under the name uncultured bacterium. Its description in RNAcentral is "partial 16S ribosomal RNA". It matches the Rfam family "Bacterial small subunit ribosomal RNA", at positions 28 to 507 of the family's 1533-position model. The record is from RNAcentral.
GACGAACGCUGGCGGCGUGCCUAAUACAUGCAAGUAGAACGCUGAAGAGAGGAGCUUGCUCUUCUUGGAUGAGUUGCGAACGGGUGAGUAACGCGUAGGUAACCUGCCUUGUAGCGGGGGAUAACUAUUGGAAACGAUAGCUAAUACCGCAUAACAAUAGGUGACACAUGUCAUUUAUUUGAAAGGGGCAAUUGCUCCACUACAAGAUGGACCUGCGUUGUAUUAGCUAGUAGGUGAGGUAACGGCUCACCUAGGCGACGAUACAUAGCCGACCUGAGAGGGUGAUCGGCCACACUGGGACUGAGACACGGCCCAGACUCCUACGGGAGGCAGCAGUAGGGAAUCUUCGGCAAUGGGGGCAACCCUGACCGAGCAACGCCGCGUGAGUGAAGAAGGUUUUCGGAUCGUAAAGCUCUGUUGUAAGUCAAGAACGAGUGUGAGAGUGGAGAGUUCACACUGUGACGGUAGCUUACCAGAAAGGGACGGCUAACUACGUG